GAUUUCCUUCCAUUAGCAUAGACCCUCAAAGUCAUCUUCUUCACAUAUAUACCCAGACCAUCGAAAAAGAAAAAAAAUAGACUGAAAACUGAAGAGGGGUGAUCGGAACAGGGGACUGGUGCGAGGUUCGAUCCUUAUCCAAGCUUUUUCUGGUGAAAACUUUUACCAGAAUUGAUUUUAGUUCGUCGUUCGGUUGACCAGUUCAAGAAGAAUCCAAAUUUCUUCAUUUUUCUUUGAUUUCUAAGGGAAUCUGGCC
This 256-nucleotide long non-coding RNA is filed under the name Capsicum annuum. RNAcentral describes it as "long non-coding RNA (CANN_LNC016759)". Lineage: Eukaryota; Viridiplantae; Streptophyta; Magnoliopsida; Solanales; Solanaceae. The record is from RNAcentral.